GUUGGCUUGGAAGCAGCCAUUCAUUCAAAGAGUGCGUAACAGCUCACUAGUCGAGAGACCGGGCAUGGAUAAUAAUCGGGUAUUAAGUCAGAUACCGAAGGCACGGGGUAGCAGAGUAAUGAAAAGUACCGGUAGGGGAGCAUUCCACCUCCGUCGAAUGGUUUCCGUGAGGAUUCCUGGAGGGCGUGGAAAAGCAAAUGUAGGCAUAAGUAACGACUAGGGGCGUGAGAACCGCCCCCGCCGCAAGUCUAAGGUUUCCCGGGCGAUGCCAGUCAGCCCGGGGUCAGUCGGGUCCUAAGGCUCAGCCGAACGGCGAGGCCGAUGGCAGACACGGUUAAUAUUCCGUGACCCUCUGCUGGAGCGACGUGGAGACGGAGCAGUGACACCACCGCGCCCUGACGGAAUAGGGCGUUGAAGGCCGUAGGUGCAGACAAGGGCAGGCAAAUCCACCCUUUGAGCUGAAAGCCGACAGUACGCUUCCUCCUUCGGGAGGCGGCGACAGCGUGGGUAACCAUACUUCCUAGAAAAUCCGCUAAGCAUAUCCAUCGGAGGCCCGUACCGCAAUCCGACACAGGUAGACGGGUAGAACAUACUGAGGCGUUGGGAGAUUCAUGGCUAAGGAACUAGGCAAACUGACCCCGUAACUUCGGGAUAAGGGGUCCUCACGGCAACGUGAGGCGCAGAGAAUAGGCCCAGGCAACUGUUUAACAAAAACACAGGGCUGUGCAAACUCGAAAGAUGAUGUAUACAGCCUGACACCUGCCCGGUGCCGGAAGGUUAAGAGGAGGAGUCAGCCCCUUGUGGGUGAAGCCCCGAGUUGAAGCCCCGGUAAACGGCGGCCGUAACUAUAACGGUCCUAAGGUAGCGAAAUUCCUUGUCGGGUAAGUUCCGACCUGCACGAAUGGUGUAAUGAUCCGGACGCUGUCUCAACCAUGAGCUCAGUGAAAUUGUAGUAUCGGUGAAGAUGCCGAUUACCCGCGAUGGGACGAAAAGACCCCGUGAACCUUUACUACAGCUUAGCGCUGACCUUGGUCAUCCGAUGUGUAGGAUAGGCCGGAGGCUUCGAAGCGGGGACGCCAGUCUUCGUGGAGCCGCCCUUGAAAUACGGCCCUUUGGCUGUCCGAGGUCUAACGCGCGUUUUGCGCGGACACCGCUUGGCGGGUAGUUUGACUGGGGUGGUCGCCUCCAAAAGUGUAACGGAGGCUUCCAAAGGUGCCCUCAGGCCGAUUGGUAACCGGCCUCUAGAGUGCAAUGGCAUAAGGGCGCUUGACUGGGAGGGAGACAUCCCGAGCAGGCAGGAAACUGGGGCAUAGUGAUCCGGCGGACGCGUAUGGAAGCUCCGUCGCUCAAAGGAUAAAAGGUACUCCGGGGAUAACAGGCUGAUCCCCCCCA
This 1392-nucleotide ribosomal RNA is filed under the name human gut metagenome. RNAcentral's name for it is "bacterial LSU rRNA". It matches the Rfam family "Bacterial large subunit ribosomal RNA", at positions 1100 to 2494 of the family's 2925-position model. The record is from RNAcentral.